This 360-nucleotide ribosomal RNA is filed under the name Ablepharus ladacensis. Its description in RNAcentral is "partial small subunit ribosomal RNA". It matches the Rfam family "Bacterial small subunit ribosomal RNA", at positions 864 to 1397 of the family's 1533-position model. The record is from RNAcentral. Lineage: Eukaryota; Metazoa; Chordata; Lepidosauria; Squamata; Scincidae.
ACUAUUCGCCAGAGAACUACAAGCGAAAAACUUUAAACUCCAAGGACUUGGCGGUGCUCCACACCAGCCUAGAGGAGCCUGUCCUAUAAUCGAUAUUCCACGCUCAACCUUACCCCCCCUUGAAACUCAGCCUAUAUACCGCCGUCGCCAGCCUACCUUAUGAAAGGAUAAAGUGAGCACAAUAGUUAACAACUAAUACGUCAGGUCAAGGUGUAGCACACGGGGGGAGAGAUGGGCUACAUUCCCUCCCACAGGGAAACGAACAGUGUAUUGAAAUACACACUCAAAGGUGGAUUUAGCAGUAAAACAAAUUAUACCCCUUUAUUUCAAUAUGCUCUGGAGCGCGCACACACCGCCCGU